Molecule: ribosomal RNA, 438 nt
Filed under: uncultured microorganism
Description: bacterial SSU rRNA
Rfam family: Bacterial small subunit ribosomal RNA
Source: RNAcentral
CGGGUGGCUGCAGUUAAGAAUAUUCCGCAAUGGCCGAAAGGCUGACGGAGCGACGCCGCGUGCAGGAUGAAGGGCUUCGGCUCGUAAACUGCUUUUAUUUGGGAAGAACUUUGACGGUACCAAAUGAAUAAGGGGUUGCUAACUCUGUGCCAGCAGCAGCGGUAAUACAGAGACCUCAAACGUUGUCCGGAUUUAUUGGGCGUAAAGGGUCCGCAGGCGGCUAUGCGCGUCGAUGGGUUAAAUUUCGGGGCUCAACUCCGAAACCGCUCUCGAUACGGCAUAGCUAGAGGCCGGGAGAGGCACACGGAAUUGCCGGUGUAGUAGUAAUAUGCGUUAAUAUCGGCAAGAACACCAAAUGCGAAGGCAGUGUGCUGGAACGGUUCUGACGCUCAGGGACGAAAGCGUGGGGAGCGAAAGGGAUUAGAUACCCCAGUAGUC